This 1987-nucleotide long non-coding RNA is filed under the name Danio rerio (zebrafish). Its description in RNAcentral is "lncRNA linc.sox4a (ENSDARG00000096312.4)". The record is from RNAcentral. Lineage: Eukaryota; Metazoa; Chordata; Actinopteri; Cypriniformes; Danionidae.
GUUUUGCGCUUAUGGAUUAUAACGACAAAACGGGAUUGCCUCUCAGUGGACCUCCACACGUGUUUGACAAAACUCUCCGAAGAUGACAUCCUGACGUAGGUUCUUGUGUGGGAGCUGAGGUCUUUUCCCAGACACAACAGAAGCCAGAGCCUGUGGUUGAUUUCAUGACUUCCUCCUCAUUGUUUGCCUGUCUGCGUGACUGGAAACCGGCAGUGACAGACCGAUGACUCCGGCCUCUCUUUAACCAGGCUUGUGGAGAAACUGGACCUGGCUCCCUCUGAAGUACUUGAUGUCCAAAUUAUCUCGGCACAAUGCUGCCAAGUCAUUUUGCUGGUUUGCACACAACUCUGCACCUAGUGGUCACUUUGGAGUUCAGCAGCAAAGAGCAUCAGGAAGCAUUACCACAUCACUCACAGUUCAGCUCUCCGGCAAUGCCCUGACCUCCUGAACCCUGACCUUAAAUGACCUCUCUUCGUACUCUCGGUUUAACUAGCUCAGCGGCUCUCAGUAUCAGCCUUCAGCGUGGGAACCGCACAUAACUGAUGGCCGAGUGUGGAGGAUAGUCGUGUUCUGGUUCUGAAUGAUACCUCUGGGCUAAAGCGGGAAAGCGUGGACAUAUCUCUCCAUCUGCUUCCCUGUGACAUCAAAGGAAAAGCCUUGGAUUCUACGGCCUAUAUAUAAAACCUGCAGGAAGACAUGUGUUAUUCUGGCUCUCUUCCUGUAACCUAAGGCUGAUCUCGAACACUCUUUUUCUCAUUCUCUCUCACUUUGUCUGCUUUGUGCUGAAGUGGACACUCUUAUGACUAAGUGUUGUCAUUUUAUGUGCUUCUUUCAUGUUAUACAGUCUUCUUAAAGUGAUAGUUCACCCAAAAAUUCUUUCUUCAUUUACUCAUCUUCUACUUCUGCUCAACCGGUUUGAGUUUCUUUCUUCUGUCAAAUGCCAAUAAUGAAGAUAUUAAAGAAUGCUGGUAAGAAGCAGCCACUGACAUUUUGGUUUCUACUGUGAAUGUCAGUGCUGCUGGUUUGCAAUAUUGUUCAGAGUAUGUACAGUACUAAAUAGUAAGGGAGUUUUUUAUUUUAGGAUGAACUUCUGGAUUAACCUUUUAUUUUUGGAUCUUGGGGUUAAAAGUACAGCUACCUAAAAAGGAAAAUCCUGUUGUUGUUUUUUUUCACCCACAUGCCAUAAACAGAAAAAUACACACAGAGAAAAUUACAUUUGCUGCUUAUUUUAAUUACAGUUUGAAAAUGUUCAGUAUUUUUGUUCAUUAUUGUUCAGUCGGCUUAAAUGUGUAUAAAAAAAGUCUGUAAGAGCCAUAGUUUGAUUUAAUACAACUUAUUAUUAGUGCUCUUAUUCAUGUACAGUUUACACUUGUUUACAUGUUUACUUGUGUGAAUUUGUUGAUUUCUCCCUAUUCUUUUGGUUGAAACGGUUUGCUGUAUUAUGUAUUAUUAUUAAGUUUUAUUAUGAUAUAGAAAAAUGAAAGAAACAAGACCGGAGUUUAUUGUCAUGCUGUUUGAAAAUUCAGUAAACAUCUUUAAAUGGAAAGAAACCCAAUUCAAUUUAUUGUCGGACUGAUUUUGAAAUUUUGAGUUUAAAUAGUCCUUAUUUUAUGUUAUUUAUUAAAUUAUUUUUGUUGAUAUUACUAACUGAGUAGUAAAUUUAUAAUUUCCUUCCCAGCAUAAUUUUUACUAAGUAAAGGGUUAGACCUAUUUAAUCUCCAUUUAUUUUAAAUAUAUGGAAGAGUUUCAAUUGAAGUUUUGAGUUCGGAGGUUAUUCCUAUGCAAUAAUUAUUGUUUCUUCACUCAACAAUUCAUUUGUUAUUACCAGUUUGAGAUCAGUCUCUUUUUACUUGUUCAAUCCAUAUGUUAUAUAUGGAACAAAAUAAUAAUUUUAAACUGUAAUUUUGUUUGUCGAAAUUAGAUGAUUAAGAUGACUAAAUUUGCUAAAUAAUUCAAAUAAAAGUGAUGAAAUCUUGUUGGUUCAGAA